RNAcentral lists this ribosomal RNA (288 nucleotides) under uncultured bacterium. RNAcentral's name for it is "partial 16S ribosomal RNA". It matches the Rfam family "Bacterial small subunit ribosomal RNA", at positions 332 to 638 of the family's 1533-position model. The record is from RNAcentral.
CGGACCCUACGGGACGCAGCAGUGGGGAAUAAUGCACAAUGGGGGAAACCCUGAUGCAGCGACGCCGCGUGAAGGAAGAAGUAUUUCGGUAUGUAAACUUCUAUCAGCAGGGAAGAAAAUGACGGUACCUGACUAAGAAGCCCCGGCUAACUACGUGCCAGCAGCCGCGGUAAUACGUAGGGGGCAAGCGUUAUCCGGAUUUACUGGGUGUAAAGGGAGCGUAGGCGGUAAUGCAAGUCAGAAGUGAAAGCCCGGGGCUCAACUCCGGGACUGCUUUUGAAACUGGGU